CCUACGGGUGGCAGCAGUGAGGAAUAUUGGUCAAUGGACGAGAGUCUGAACCAGCCAAGUAGCGUGAAGGAUGACUGCCCUAUGGGUUGUAAACUUCUUUUAUAUGGGAAUAAAACGUUCCAAGUGGGGGAUUUUGUAUGUACCAUAUGAAUAAGGAUCGGCUAACUCCGUGCCAGCAGCCGCGGUAAUACGGAGGCUCCGAGCGUUAUCCGGAUUUAUUGGGUUUAAAGGGAGCGUAGGUGGAUUGUUAAGUCAGUUGUGAAAGUUUGCGGCUCAACCGUAAAAUUGAAGUUGAAACUGGCAGUCUUGAGUACAGUAGAGGUGGGUGGAAUUCGUGGUGUAGCGGUGAAAUGCUUAGAUAUCACGAAGAACUCCGAUUGCGAAGGCAGUUCACUGGACUGCAACUGACACUGAGGCUCGAAAGUGUGGGUAUCAAACAGGAUUAGAUACCCGGGUAGUC
Molecule: ribosomal RNA, 460 nt
Filed under: uncultured bacterium
Lineage: Bacteria
Description: partial 16S ribosomal RNA
Rfam family: Bacterial small subunit ribosomal RNA
Source: RNAcentral